Molecule: ribosomal RNA, 747 nt
Filed under: uncultured bacterium
Lineage: Bacteria
Description: bacterial SSU rRNA
Rfam family: Bacterial small subunit ribosomal RNA
Source: RNAcentral
ACGCUGGCGGCAGGCCUAACACAUGCAAGUCGAGCGGUAGAGAGAAGCUUGCUUCUCUUGAGAGCGGCGGACGGGUGAGUAAUGCCUAGGAAUCUGCCUGGUAGUGGGGGAUAACGUUCGGAAACGGACGCUAAUACCGCACACGUCCUACGGGAGAAAGCAGGGGACCUUCGGGCCUUGCGCUAUCAGAUGAGCCUAGGUCGGAUUAGCUAGUUGGUGAGGUAAUGGCUCACCAAGGCGACGAUCCGUAACUGGUCUGAGAGGAUGAUCAGUCACACUGGAACUGAGACACGGUCCAGACUCCUACGGGAGGCAGCAGUGGGGAAUAUUGGACAAUGGGCGAAAGCCUGAUCCAGCCAUGCCGCGUGUGUGAAGAAGGUCUUCGGAUUGUAGAGCACUUUAAGUUGGGAGGAAGGGUUGUAGAUUAAUACUCUGCAAUUUUGACGUUACCGACAGAAUAAGCACCGGCUAACUCUGUGUCAGCAGCCGCGGUAAUACAGAGGGUGCAAGCGUUAAUCGGAACUACUGGGCGUAAAGCGCGCGUAGGUGGUUUGUUAAGUUGGAUGUGAAAUCCCCGGGCUCAACCUGGGAACUGCAUUCAAAACUGACUGACUAGAGUAUGGUAGAGGGUGGUGGAAUUUCCUGUGUAGCGGUGAAAUGCGUAGAUAUAGGAAGGAACACCAGUGGCGAAGGCGACCACCUGGACUAAUACUGACACUGAGGUGCGAAGGCGUGGGGAGCAAACAG